UAGUGCAUUACCUCAUAUUCC
This is a non-coding RNA of Caenorhabditis elegans, 21 nucleotides long. NCBI's taxonomy places the organism in Eukaryota, Metazoa, Nematoda, Chromadorea, Rhabditida, Rhabditidae. The record is from Ensembl.